UGGGGGAUAUUGCACAAUGGGCGAAAGCCUGAUGCAGCGACGCCGCGUGGGGGAUGAAGGCCUUCGGGUUGUAAACUUCUUUUGCUCUGAACAAGGCAUGCCUUUGGGGUGUGUUGAGUGUAGGGGUUGAUUAGCGCCGGCUAACUACGUGCCAGCAGCCGCGGUAAUACGUAGGGCGCGAGCGUUGUCCGGAAUUAUUGGGCGUAAAGGGCUUGUAGGUGGCUGGUUGCGUCUGUCGUGAAAGCUAAUGGCUUAACUGUGGGUGUGCGGUGGGUGCGGGCUGGCUUGAGUGCAGUAGGGGAGGCUGGAAUUCCUGGUGUAGCGGUGGAAUGCGCAGAUAUCAGGAGGAAUACCGGUGGCGAAGGCGGGUCUCUGGGCUGUUACUGACGCAGAGGAGCGAAAGCGUGGGGAGCGAACAGG
Molecule: ribosomal RNA, 420 nt
Filed under: Fusobacteriota bacterium
Lineage: Bacteria; Fusobacteriati; Fusobacteriota
Description: Fusobacteria bacterium partial 16S ribosomal RNA
Rfam family: Bacterial small subunit ribosomal RNA
Source: RNAcentral